GGAUGAACGCUAGCUACAGGCUUAACACAUGCAAGUCGAGGGGAAACGGCAUUUAGUGCUUGCACUGAAUGGACGUCGACCGGCGCACGGGUGAGUAACGCGUAUCCAACCUUCCCAUUACUGUGGGAUAACCUGCCGAAAGGCAGACUAAUACCGCAAAGUCUUCGAUGACGGCAUCAGAUUUGAAGUAAAGAUUUAUCGGUAAUGGAUGGGGAUGCGUCUGAUUAGCUUGUUGGCGGGGUAACGGCCCACCAAGGCGACGAUCAGUAGGGGUUCUGAGAGGAAGGUCCCCCACAUUGGAACUGAGACACGGUCCAAACUCCUACGGGAGGCAGCAGAGAGGAAUAUUGGUCAAUGGACGUAAGUCUGAACCAGCCAAGUAGCGUGCAGGAUGACGGCCCUAUGGGUUGUAAACUGCUUUUGUAUGGGGAUAAAGUCAGUCACGUGUGAUUGUUUGCAGGUACCAUACGAAUAAGGACCGGCUAAUUCCGUGCCAGCAGCCGCGGUAAUACGGAAGGUCCAGGCGUUAUCCGGAUUUAUUGGGUUUAAAGGGAGCGUAGGCUGGAUAUUAAGUGUGUUGUGAAAUGUAGACGCUCAACGUCUGACUUGCAGCGCAUACUGGUUUCCUUGAGUACGCACAACGUUGGCGGAAUUCGUCGUGUAGCGGUGAAAUGCUUAGAUAUGACGAAGAACUCCGAUUGCGAAGGCAGCUGACGGGAGCGCAACUGACGCUUAAGCUCGAAGGUGCGGGUAUCAAACAGGAUUAGAUACCCUGGUAGUCCGCACAGUAAACGAUGGAUGCCCGCUGUUGGUACCUGGUAUCAGCGGCU
RNAcentral lists this ribosomal RNA (830 nucleotides) under uncultured Prevotella sp. Its description in RNAcentral is "bacterial SSU rRNA". It matches the Rfam family "Bacterial small subunit ribosomal RNA", at positions 27 to 848 of the family's 1533-position model. Lineage: Bacteria; Pseudomonadati; Bacteroidota; Bacteroidia; Bacteroidales; Prevotellaceae. The record is from RNAcentral.